GUCGAACGCUGGCGGCGUGCCUAAUACAUGCAAGUUGAGCGCUGAAGGUUGGUACUUGUACCAACUGGAUGAGCAGCGAACGGGUGAGUAACGCGUGGGGAAUCUGCCUUUGAGCGGGGGACAACAUUUGGAAACGAAUGCUAAUACCGCAUAAAAACUUUAAACACAAGUUUUAAGUUUGAAAGAUGCAAUUGCAUCACUCAAAGAUGAUCCCGCGUUGUAUUAGCUAGUUGGUGAGGUAAAGGCUCACCAAGGCGAUGAUACAUAGCCGACCUGAGAGGGUGAUCGGCCACAUUGGGACUGAGACACGGCCCAAACUCCUACGGGAGGCAGCAGUAGGGAAUCUUCGGCAAUGGACGAAAGUCUGACCGAGCAACGCCGCGUGGGUGAAGAAGGUUUUCGGAUCGUAAAACUCUGUUGGUAGAGAAGAACGUUGGUGGGAGUGGAAAGCUCAUCAAGUGACGGUAACUUCCCAGAAAGGGACGGCUAACUACAUG
Molecule: ribosomal RNA, 497 nt
Filed under: uncultured bacterium
Lineage: Bacteria
Description: partial 16S ribosomal RNA
Rfam family: Bacterial small subunit ribosomal RNA
Source: RNAcentral